This 253-nucleotide ribosomal RNA is filed under the name uncultured bacterium. RNAcentral describes it as "partial 16S ribosomal RNA". It matches the Rfam family "Bacterial small subunit ribosomal RNA", at positions 524 to 776 of the family's 1533-position model. The record is from RNAcentral.
UACGUAGGUGACCAGCGUUGUCCGGAUUUACUGGGCGUAAAGAGCGCGCAGGCGGUCGUUCAAGUCGAGUGUGAAAGCCCCCGGCUCAACUGGGGAGGGUCAUUCGAUACUGAUCGACUUGAAGGCAGGAGAGGGAAGUGGAAUUCCCGGUGUAGUGGUGAAAUGCGUAGAUAUCGGGAGGAACACCAGUGGCGAAGGCCACUUCCUGGCCUGUUCUUGACGCUGAGGCGCGAAAGCGUGGGGAGCAAACAGG